RNAcentral lists this transfer RNA (77 nucleotides) under Vibrio phage vB_ValS_X1. RNAcentral describes it as "tRNA-Pro". It matches the Rfam family "tRNA". Rfam says of the family: Transfer RNA (tRNA) molecules are approximately 80 nucleotides in length. Their secondary structure includes four short double-helical elements and three loops (D, anti-codon, and T loops). The record is from RNAcentral. Lineage: Duplodnaviria; Heunggongvirae; Uroviricota; Caudoviricetes; Demerecviridae.
CGGUGCUUAGCUCAGUAGUGUAGAGCGCUCCGUUUGGGACGGAGGGGUCGUGGGUUCGAGUCCUACAGUGCCGACCA